RNAcentral lists this small RNA (109 nucleotides) under Mytilus galloprovincialis (Mediterranean mussel). Lineage: Eukaryota; Metazoa; Mollusca; Bivalvia; Mytilida; Mytilidae. The record is from RNAcentral.
UUUUAAUUUUUUCUGGGACGCCUUCCUACAACAUCGUAGGAAGGCGUCCCAGAAAAAAAUUAAAAUAGCCUGACGUUGCAGGAAGGCGUCCCAGAAAAAAAUUAAAAAU